Cicer arietinum (chickpea) is the source of this 1055-nucleotide long non-coding RNA. RefSeq lists it as uncharacterized. The record is from RefSeq and is a predicted model, not a curated record. NCBI's taxonomy places the organism in Eukaryota, Viridiplantae, Streptophyta, Magnoliopsida, Fabales, Fabaceae.
CACUCUCACCCCCUCCCCUCUCUUUUCUCUUUAUAAAGCUGCUAGAUUCAUAUUAUAAAUUGUAGAGUGGUCCAUAUGAACUUAAUUUGAAGUUGCAUAUGCUUAUUUCUUUCUUUCUCAAUUCUCUUCUCUUCUUCUCUAUAUAAUAUAUCUCUCUACCUAGCUUUUUUUUUCCUCUCAUUAAGUGCUUCUUCAACACAAACUUAAUUAACUUGCCUCAUCAAAUGUGAGAUCUGAAGUCCAAUUUUUGUUUUUAAGUCCUGGUCAUGCUUUUCCACAGCUUUCUUGAACUUCUUUUGCAUCUUAAAUCUUUCCAAAUUCAAGAUUAAUAGCCCUAGAAGAAGCUCAAGAAAGCUGUGGGAGAAUAUGGCAAUCAGGCUUAUUAUUUUUGCUAGAUGCAGAAUUUACUUACUACAAGAUGGUACACGUUUGAGCCAUGCAAGAUGGGAGUAGAAGAUUACAAUAUAGAUUUGUAUUUAUUUAUAUUAAAUUAUGAAAAAUUGAAUGUUUCCUAGUUGUCUGUAGAAUUGGGUGAAGUUUCCAAUUAACUAAUUUACUAGUAAAAAUGUGAUUCAUUCAAUCAAAUGGUGAAAGGAAAAGAAAAAAAGUAUUUUGUGUUUGCAGAGAAGAUUCCCUCACUUUUCCUUUUUAUUAUUAAUGAUGAUAGUUCUUCUUGUUGCCCUUUUAGUUUAAUCUUCUCCUACAUUUCUGUGAAAAAGGUUAACCUUUGUCAUUACAUGACAUCAUAUAUUUUUUUAACCACUCCUCUCUCCUGACAUCAUUUGCCGUAUUGAUUUUAACACCCCCCCACCCCAUCUUCUCUCCUCUCUCUCCCUCCCCUCUUACUCUGUCUCAAAUCUUAAUGUCUCUUUCUCUCUACAUACCAACUUGGUGCUGAAAUCUUUGCUAAUUUAUUUUUCAAAUAUACAACCUCUUCUUGCUUUCUAUCAUCAUUUUAAUUUACCGACCCCAAUAUUAUGAAAUUGCAAUUGUAGAUGAAUGUAAUUUAAUACUAUGGUUUGAAUUCAUAUUAAUGAUAUUAUUGCAGUUUUACA